Molecule: transfer RNA, 73 nt
Filed under: Pediculus humanus capitis (human head louse)
Lineage: Eukaryota; Metazoa; Arthropoda; Insecta; Psocodea; Pediculidae
Description: tRNA-Tyr
Rfam family: tRNA
About the family: Transfer RNA (tRNA) molecules are approximately 80 nucleotides in length. Their secondary structure includes four short double-helical elements and three loops (D, anti-codon, and T loops).
Source: RNAcentral
GGGAUAGAAGCUUAAUGUAAAGCGUUACUCUGUAAAAGUAAAGAUGAGAUUGUAAAAUGAAUCUCCUUUUCCA